Long non-coding RNA from Tupaia belangeri chinensis (Chinese tree shrew), 510 nucleotides. RefSeq lists it as uncharacterized. The transcript has 4 exons. The record is from RefSeq and is a predicted model, not a curated record. Lineage: Eukaryota; Metazoa; Chordata; Mammalia; Scandentia; Tupaiidae.
AGGCCUGUAUGACCUUUUAUUCUACUCAUUUUUAACUCAUCAGCCCUCCCCCCACCACCAGGACCCCACCAUCUAUAAGCUUCACAGAUUUCUGGAACUGUGAGGAGCAUCUUCAUUUCUGUGCUCUGAUGAAGGUUUGGGCCCUCACGGGUGACAGAAAAGUGCCACAGUACUGGUUCCCGUUUGAACACACAGGCUUGCUGGGGGUCGCCUUGCAGCGCGAGGAGAGAGAAGGCUGGAACCACCACACUUCCCACAGCAAGGGCAAUCUUUAAAGGCAGUAAGGUGUGACGCUCCAGACUGGCAGUUUGGCAAGACAGAGCCCAUGGAUACCAGCACACGGGAAUCUGGAUGGUUCGCUCUGACAGCAGUCAGCACUGGGAACAAAAGGAAUGAAGGGGGAAAAAAAAGCGCAAAUGUAUUUUUACAUAUUGUAGGCAUAUGGCCACAAGACCAGUAGAAAUAUAUUUAAUUACCAAUUGCACGCAUUGAGGAGAAAAACAUUGGGAA